CUCUCGCUUCUCCGUCAUCAUCAUCAGACACUAAAGUCUCCGAUCGAUCUUCUUCGGUUGAUUUAGUCAAACACUUUACUCUCGAAGAAGAAGAAGAAGAAGAUAGCUUCACAGAUAUUACAGGAAUCCUUGCUUUCUGGAGAGAAAUAAAAGAAGAAGAUUGCCACGCACAAGGAUUAACGAACACAUAAUCAGGUACUGAUGGGGAUGAUGAUUUAAGUAGUGGAAAAUCAAGAAAGUGUGGAGAUGAUGAUAAAGCCAUUUCUCUCAUUCUUCUGAAAUUCCACUCUGCUUCUGCUCAUGGAAAUGGAGGAAGUUUGGUGUGUAGAGAGAGAGAGAGAUGUCGUCUGGGGAUAUGAUAUAAAAUUGACGCUUUUUGGUGGAAAAAAAAUGUUAAAUAAUAAAAGGCAAAAGGGCGUUAAAUAUAUUUAAUUUAAUAAAAAGAAUUUGGUGACAGUUAUUUUUUGUGGUUUGGAUUUCGUUUGCUGUCAUCUUCUGUUUUUUUAUUUGAUUCUGCUUUUCGUCAGUUCGGUAAUUUUCACAGUAUUAU
Molecule: long non-coding RNA, 550 nt
Filed under: Ricinus communis (castor bean)
Lineage: Eukaryota; Viridiplantae; Streptophyta; Magnoliopsida; Malpighiales; Euphorbiaceae
Description: long non-coding RNA (RCOM_LNC002196)
Source: RNAcentral